RNAcentral lists this ribosomal RNA (948 nucleotides) under Triticum aestivum (bread wheat). RNAcentral describes it as "partial small subunit ribosomal RNA". The record is from RNAcentral. Lineage: Eukaryota; Viridiplantae; Streptophyta; Magnoliopsida; Poales; Poaceae.
AUGCACCCAUUUCUUCAUCUUGUCAUUCAGCUGCUUCCACUCCACACGCUGAACCUCAUCGAUGCUGAGACGCUCGACCCCCAGAACUGUGAGGCACUCAUCAAGCAGGUCCCGGCGGAUGCCACAGUAAACCUGCACGAGCUCACUUGCAUAGCCAGCGCGCCCCAUCCGCUCAGCAAUGGCGCGCAGCUCAUCAACAGCGUCAGGCCGCACCAGGUCGAACAGCUGGUCGUCGAAGGGGUUCCCCACGAGACUGGCGCUGCGGGCGGUAUCUGGCGCGCCCUCCUGGCUGUGCGGGGUGGUGGGGUCGAACUCGGAGGAGGUGUCGAGGUCGUCCAUGGACUCGAGCGAGAGGCGGCGGAGCGAGCAGUAGAGGCCGCUGGCGUCGAGCGGCACGGCGUGGUGGAGCAUGAGGUGGCGGAGCUCGUCCUCGAGGCGCGCCAUGGCGAGCUGCACGGCGACGCCCGCGCGGCCCGAGGCGGCGGCGGCGCCCCCGGCGGCGAGGUGGUCGACGGCGACGUCGACCGCGGCGAGGUAGUUGGCGGCGUCGUCCUCGGGCGCCUCGAAGACGAGCGCCUCCGGGGUGGUGUCCCAGAGGUGGAUGAGCCGCGCCGCUUCGUCGAAAUCCGCCAGGGAGGGGGCCUCCGGGUCGGCGUCGGCGUCGGACGGGGAACGGGAGCGAGAGGGCGAGGUGGAGUGGAAGAGGUCGGAGGUGAUGUUGGAGAAGCGGUAGUCGAAGCCCGAGAGGAUGCGGAUCAUGUCGUCGGCGGCGUUCUUGGAGGUGGCGAGCGACUUGACGAUGUGGUGCGCCGCGGCGAGGACCCUGUCGUUGCCGGCGACGGCGACGGCCAGAGGCACGGCGUCCUCCUCCGGCGGCGGGGGAGACGCCGACAUCGCCGGCGGGCCGCUAGGGUUUGGUCCGGCGGUGGUUUACUGACGCGACACUAG